RNAcentral lists this ribosomal RNA (440 nucleotides) under uncultured bacterium. RNAcentral describes it as "partial 16S ribosomal RNA". It matches the Rfam family "Bacterial small subunit ribosomal RNA", at positions 338 to 795 of the family's 1533-position model. The record is from RNAcentral.
CCUACGGGAGGCAGCAGUGGGGGAUAUUGCACAAUGGGGGAAACCCUGAUGCAGCGACGCCGCGUGGGUGAAGAAGCGCCUCGGCGCGUAAAGCCCUGUCAGCAGGGAAGAAAAUGACGGUACCUGAAGAAGAAGCCCCGGCUAACUACGUGCCAGCAGCCGCGGUAAUACGUAGGGGGCCAGCGUUAUCCGGGUUUACUGGGUGUAAAGGGGGCGCAGACGGCGAUGCAAGCCAGGAGUGAAAGCCCGGGGCCCAACCCCGGGACUGCUCUUGGAACUGGGUGGCUAGAGUGCAGGAGGGGCAGGCGGAAUUCCUGGUGUAGCGGUGAAAUGCGUAGAUAUCAGGAGGAACACCGGUGGCGAAGGCAGCCUGCUGGACUGCAACUGACGUUGAGGCCCGAAAGCGUGGGGAGCAAACAGGAUUAGAUACCCCAGUAGUC